AAUGAGAGUAAAAAGGUUUUCUGGAAAAAGCGAAAGGGUCAGAGUUCACAAGGACCCUCUAAGAAGCACAAAACUGUGGCAGUCCACGCUGCUACUACUCCUGUCGCUGCUCCUACAACUCAAGCGCCUACCAAUAGGUAUGCUGGUAACCUCCCUUGGUGCAAUGAGUGCAGUUACCAUCACUCACUUCCANCAAUGAGUGCAGUUACCAUCAUCUCACUUCCAGCCCAUGCCGUGAGGUGUUUUACUACAACUGUGGCAAGAAAGGUCACCUUACGCGAAAUUGCAAAACACCAACUCAGCCAACCAAUCAAGCUUCCGG
Molecule: long non-coding RNA, 322 nt
Filed under: Lactuca sativa (garden lettuce)
Lineage: Eukaryota; Viridiplantae; Streptophyta; Magnoliopsida; Asterales; Asteraceae
Description: long non-coding RNA (LSAT_LNC006516)
Source: RNAcentral